This 686-nucleotide long non-coding RNA is filed under the name Hordeum vulgare. Its description in RNAcentral is "long non-coding RNA (HVUL_LNC001645)". Lineage: Eukaryota; Viridiplantae; Streptophyta; Magnoliopsida; Poales; Poaceae. The record is from RNAcentral.
UUUGGUUGUACGUUGAUUGUGUUGAUCAAUUGUUGCUUUUAUAAAAAGCGGGUUGAAAACCUUUUUGGCAAAUAUUAAGGUACUAAUGCCUGAUGGGCGAGAGAUGGUGAUCAAGUUAGUGAGCCAAUCUCAGAAUAAGUUGAGUCACCACCUUGUUGCAUAUGGCCGUAGUUAUUCCCCAACCGUUGUAUGGUAUGAUCAGUGGGGACGUCGACUUACGAGUCGAUAUCGUCGUGCUCAGUGAUCCCAGAGAUCAAUGCUCACCGAACACAGAUAUCGAAUAAAAGAGUCUUACAUCCAUACAUACCGUUUGAUACAAUAAAUGACCUCUUCGGUCGAGUCUUACAUAUAUAGGGCCUUAUAGGGCAACACACCAAACUGGACCAAUAGCGGAAAUAUUGGUUGAAAGCGUGAACCCAUGCCAUCAGCCUUAUCCUACGGGCAUUAUGACUGGGAAACAUCCUAGCUCGCAUGAACGUCACAGAGUUAAUCUUCACCAUAUCCUGUCUUUCACACCCGGUCAAUGAAAUAACAAGUGGCAAGCCAAUGAGUACUUUGAAUGUACUCGCAAAACAGCCCAUGAUACGAACAAUGAAAGUGAAGGAUGACACUAUCAUGCAUCUUUAGUGUAACUCAUCUGGGUGGAAUGAUCAUGAAUAUGCAUCAAGUUAAAGAAUUACUUUUGA